This 468-nucleotide ribosomal RNA is filed under the name uncultured bacterium. RNAcentral describes it as "partial 16S ribosomal RNA". It matches the Rfam family "Bacterial small subunit ribosomal RNA", at positions 28 to 507 of the family's 1533-position model. The record is from RNAcentral.
GACGAACGCUGGCGGCGUGCUUAACACAUGCCAGUCGAACGGAAAGGCCCUGCAUUUGUGGGGUGCUCGAGUGGCGAACGGGUGAGUAACACGUGAGUAACCUGCCCUUGACUUUGGGAUAACUUCAGGAAACUGGGGCUCAUACCGGAUAGGAGCUCCUGCUGCAUGGUGGGGGUUGGAAAGUUUCGGCGGUUGGGGAUGGACUCGCGGCUUAUCAGCUUGUUGGUGGGGUAGUGGCUUACCAAGGCUUUGACGGGUAGCCGGCCUGAGAGGGUGACCGGCCACAUUGGGACGGAGAUACGGCCCAGACGCCUACGGGAGGCAGCAGUGGUGAAUAUUGCACAAUGGGCGGAAGCCGGAUGCAGCAACGCCGCGUGCGGGAUGACGGCCUUCGGGUUGUAAACCGCUUUCGCCUGUGACGAAGCGUGAGUGACGGUAAUGGGUAAAGAAGCACCGGCUAACUACGUG